GUAUUUAUGUUUAACGCCUGCUAACGCGGGCCUUUGGGAAG
Molecule: non-coding RNA, 41 nt
Organism: Providencia alcalifaciens DSM 30120
Lineage: Bacteria; Pseudomonadati; Pseudomonadota; Gammaproteobacteria; Enterobacterales; Morganellaceae
Source: Rfam